Molecule: ribosomal RNA, 776 nt
Filed under: uncultured Neocallimastigales
Lineage: Eukaryota; Fungi; Neocallimastigomycota; Neocallimastigomycetes; Neocallimastigales
Description: partial large subunit ribosomal RNA
Rfam family: Eukaryotic large subunit ribosomal RNA
Source: RNAcentral
UACGACUACAUAUCAGGCAUAUCAAUAAGCGGAGGAAAAGAAACUAACAAGGAUUCCCUUAGUAACGGCGAGUGAAGCGGGAAGAGCUCAAAUUUGAAAUCUUCAAGGUUUUACCUUGACGAAUUGUAGUUUAAAGAAGUGUUUUCUGUUGGAGUUUCGGUAAAAGUUCUUUGGAAUAGGACAUCAUAGAGGGUGAGAAUCCCGUAUUUGACCGUUACUUUCCAGCUGUGUGAUACACUUUCAAAGAGUCGGAUUGUUUGGGAACGCAGUCCAAGAUGGGUGGUAAAUCUCAUCUAAAGCUAAAUAUUGGCGAGAGACCGAUAGCGAACAAGUACCGUGAGGGAAAGAUGAAAAGAACUUUGAAAAGAGAGUUAAACAGUACGUGAAAUUGUCAAAAGGGAAGCGUUUGACACCAGUGUUGUUUAGUUGAAAAUCAAUUCAAUAGUUUUUGAUUCUAAGUAGUAUUGACUUCAUCAGCUUGCUGCUUUCUUCUCAGAAAUUAUUGAAUGCACUUUUCAGUUAACAAGUCAACAUCAAUUUCUUUUGUUGUAAAAGGGUAAGAGGAAGGUGGCUUGCGCUUCGGCUCAAGUGUUUAUAGCCUUUUAUCCUCUGCAAUCGGAGAGAUUGAGGUCUGCAGCGUAGACUCUUCGGGGUUAGAUACCUUGGUGCUAAGCUAUAGCCUUGUAUAGACAACUUGUUGACUAUGCUCAGUCAUGUAGCUUACUCGCUUGUAGUAUUUUACCUACGCUUAGGAUGUUGAACGCGCACAGAGUCUC